This 207-nucleotide long non-coding RNA is filed under the name Elaeis guineensis (African oil palm). Its description in RNAcentral is "long non-coding RNA (EGUI_LNC069134)". The record is from RNAcentral. Lineage: Eukaryota; Viridiplantae; Streptophyta; Magnoliopsida; Arecales; Arecaceae.
GAUAUCUCUUUUACCACCCUACUAAACAAAAGGUGUUUGUCAGUAAAUAUGCCACUUUUAUAGAAAAAGAGUGUAUCCUAGAAAGAGGUAGUGGGAAGAAAAUUGAAUUUGGAAAAGUUCAAGACCUAUAAAUGCAAGCACAAAAUGAUCCUCAAUCAGAAAUAUCUAUUAAUGAAGUACAAUAAUAAAAUACACCUCCUCUCUGAA